Molecule: ribosomal RNA, 354 nt
Filed under: uncultured beta proteobacterium
Lineage: Bacteria; Pseudomonadati; Pseudomonadota; Betaproteobacteria
Description: bacterial SSU rRNA
Rfam family: Bacterial small subunit ribosomal RNA
Source: RNAcentral
UGCAAGUCGAACGGCAGCACGGGUGCUUGCACCUGGUGGCGAGUGGCGAACGGGUGAGUAAUACAUCGGAACGUACCUUAUCGUGGGGGAUAACGCAGCGAAAGCUGUGCUAAUACCGCAUACGCCCUGAGGGGGAAAGCGGGGGAUCGAAAGACCUCGCGCGAUUAGAGCGGCCGAUGCCUGAUUAGCUUGUUGGUGGGGUAAAAGCCCACCAAGGCGACGAUCAGUAGCUGGUCUGAGAGGACGAUCAGCCACACUGGGACUGAGACACGGCCCAGACUCCUACUGGAGGCAGCAGUGGGGAAUUUUGGACAAUGGGGGCAACCCUGAUCCAGCAAUGCCGCGUGAGUGAAG